Molecule: small nucleolar RNA, 59 nt
Filed under: Aeropyrum pernix K1
Lineage: Archaea; Thermoproteati; Thermoproteota; Thermoprotei; Acidilobales; Acidilobaceae
Description: APEsR18
Source: RNAcentral
AUGAAGAGUGGUAUUACCGCCUAGUAGCGGCGAUAGCGAUGACGAGGCCCCAGUGCUGA